Long non-coding RNA from Medicago truncatula (barrel medic), 1593 nucleotides. RefSeq lists it as uncharacterized. Lineage: Eukaryota; Viridiplantae; Streptophyta; Magnoliopsida; Fabales; Fabaceae. The transcript has 8 exons. The record is from RefSeq and is a predicted model, not a curated record.
UAUUGAAGUAGAAAAGAUUAUUUGCAUUUGCAUGGUUGUUUUGUUUGAACAUUUCUUCUUCUUCUUCUUCUUCUGGAGGCAGUGAUGAACGGUUGUUGUGUUGUGUUGUGUUGUGUUGUAUGGCGAGGCGUUUCUUCUUUCUAACGCAGCCACACACACCCAUUUUUUCUUUCUUUCUGAGCCUCCCAUCCUUUUCUUUGUCACCACAUUGCAUUUCAACUUUGUGAGUGAGUUUCUUACUUCACUUCACUCUCGCUUUGUUUCUCUCUUUUUCACCUUCUUCAUUUCAUUUUCUUUUUUUCUCUUCUUCUUCUCUUCGAGGACGAGGCUGUGAUGAUCGAUCAAAACAGAACAGAGUAGUCUCAUGGCGAGGCGACUCCCGCAGCCAUGCUUCUGUUCUCUCUCUCUGAGCCUCCCUCCUUUUCUUCUUUCUACACCCCCUUAAUACAUUAUUAGGGUUUCAAGUCUCUCUUUUUCACCUCAUUUCUUACUUCUCAGCUACAAACAAAUUUCAUGAUAUUCAUUUUCUUCAACAAAUGAGGAAUGAGAGGCUGAUAUAGAUUAGGUUUUAUGUCUGUCUGGUUUCAGUAUGAAUCAAUGUUAAAUCCAGAGACAAAAGACUCUUUAAGGAUGAAAUGAGUUAUGUAUAACUCUCUCUCUCUCUCUCUCUCCCUCCCUCCCUCUCUCUCGUUUUUUACCGCUUCUUUCUUUUCAGGUUGUGGCACAAACAAAACACAAGAUGUCAAUAUCUGUAGAAGCUCAAGAAAUUUGAUAUUUAUUUUGACGAAGAAAUCAGGUGGUGGUACAAGCAAAACACAAGAUGUCAAUAUCUAUACAUGCUUAACAAAUUUGAUAUUGAUUUUGUUGAAGAAAUGAGUGCUUUCGUUUGUAGUCUUUCAGAGUCAACUUUGGAGCUGCUAGAUGACCUAUUUAGCUCUUUUUAAAUUUCAAAAUGGGAAGAGGCUAAAGAUAUAAAUUGAUUAAAAUCUUCAUACCGAUGGCAAAAAGGAAGAGCCUAAAGGUUUCAAAAGAUCCACUUCAGAGUGAACGUUGGAGCUGAGCACCUAUUUAGGUCUGUUUCAAUCUUCAAAAUGUGAAGAGCCUAAAGUGCUUUUGAUUGGAGUCUUUCAAAAGAUCCACUUCAGAGUGAACUUUGGAGCUGCUUGUUUACCUAUUUAGGUCUUUUUCAAUCAUCAAAAUGGGAAGAGCCUGAAGGUGCUACAAGCGGGACACGAGAUCCCAAUAUAUAAAUGGGAAGUUGAUUCUGCUGAAGAAAUGGGGUACAUUUGCCAUACGGAUUUUCAUAUUCAGAAGAAUCAUCAAGCCAAAUAAUAAGGAUUCGUACGAGUACUCUUGAUCAUAUAUUGCAAGCUGGUCUGUCUUUGGGAGCUUGAUCAUAAAAUCAGAAAUUUGGUCCUCAAUUAUUCUUCUCCAGUCAAGCCAAACUUGGUCCCCAAAUUUUGGAUGUUAUAAAUUGUAAAUACGAAUAAAUUACAUGCCCUGUAAUUGUUAUCUUCUUUACUUUAUACGUUUUGGGUAUGAGUUACAUUGUUCUCUUGGGUACAAUUAUGAGGGUAACUUCCAUUUAAAAUA